RNAcentral lists this unclassified non-coding RNA (2833 nucleotides) under Haliotis rufescens (red abalone). RNAcentral's name for it is "uncharacterized protein C1orf50 homolog, transcript variant X1". Lineage: Eukaryota; Metazoa; Mollusca; Gastropoda; Lepetellida; Haliotidae. The record is from RNAcentral.
CGUCAUUCCCUGUAUAUAAAGCCUUUGCCACAUCCGGAGGAAUCAUUUCUGUCUUGACACUCAAACUGGGUAGAAAAUGUCACGUCCUACAGAUCCCAAUUUGACAGCAGUGUCUCUGGUGGAGAGUAGCACUCGUCCGGGGGGUGUCAAGCUGGUCAGUGCUCGUCAUGCCAACAAGACAUCCGACCCCAUGGACCUUGUGGAGCUGGCUAUGCAGGUGCAGAAGGCAGAUGAGUUUACCCGAGCUAACGCUGGGAGCAAGUUGACGGUUAUAGCUGAUCAAAUACGGUAUCUACAAGAACAGGCGAGAAAGGUGUUGGAAGAGGCCAAGAGGAAUGCCCUCCUUCAUCACGUAGCCUGUAACUUUGUGAAGAAGCCAGGCAACACAUAUUACCUGUUCGAGAGAGACUCGGGGCAGAAGUACUUCUCCAUAUUGUCACCGCAGGAAUGGGGAGCAUCAUGUCCACAUGAGUUCCUGGGAGGAUUCCGUCUGGAGUAUGACCAGUCCUGGACACCGCUAGAUGAUGUUGAGCGGCGGGGAGAAGAGAUUGCGUUGAUAGACAAAAUAUUGAAUGCACAACAGGCCAUUACUGACAGUGCCACGCCAAACUUCAGCGGCUUGACAACUCAACCAAAGCCCAGCACAGAGGCCAAGAUAACUGACAUGUCGUAGAAGGAGGACUAGGCCAUCACAACAAGCAGCUACAGAUGCCUCACAUCAGCCAUGUAACCAGAUUAUUUCCGUGACUCUGUGAUAUAGGAUGGUUCAACUGAACAUUUUAUAGAGCAUAUUGAAGCAGAGGAUUUAAACAUGUUAAACGAAGAAGAAGAAAUGGUUUAAUUGAAACAAUAGUGAAUGAAUCUUCAUAUUGAUGUGUCCAAACUGUUUGAGUUUCUAACCCUCAAAUUGUCUCUACAGUAGAUGUUUGUAUUUAUUUUGUGGAUUAUAAGUUGAACUCGCCCGAUGGAAGGAUAUUCUACAAGACUUGGUCUGCUUAGAAGUGGCUUUUGAUGCUUACUGCUAUGUUUGUUUAUUUCGUGAUGCUUCACAUGGAACUAAAUAUGCAGGCGGCCAGCUUCACAUAGAAGUGAAUAUGCAGGUGGUCAGCUUCACAUAGAACUUAAUAUGCAGGUGGUCAGCGUCACAUGGAAGUGAAUAUGCAGGUGGUCAGCUUCACAUAGAACUUAAUAUGCAGGUUGUCAGCUUCACAUAGAACUUAAUAUGCAGGUGGUCAGCUUCACAUGGAAGUGAAUAUGCAGGUGGUCAGCUUCACAUAGAACUUAAUAUGCAGGUGGUCAGCGUCACAUGGAAGUGAAUAUGCAGGUGGUCAGCUUCACAUAGAACUAAAUAUGCAGGUUGUCAGCUUCACAUAGAACUUAAUAUGCAGGUGGUCAGCGUCACAUGGAAGUGAAUAUGCAGGUGGUCAGCUUCACAUAGAACUAAAUAUGCAGGUUGUCAGCUUCACAUAGAACUUAAUAUGCAGGUUGUCAGCUUCACAUAGAACUAAAUAUGCAGGUGGUCAGCUUCACAUGGAAGUGAAUAUGCAGGUGGUCAGCUUCACAUAGAACUUAAUAUGCAGGUGGUCAGCUUCACAUAGAACUAAAUAUGCAGGUGGUCAGCUUCACAUGGAAGUGAAUAUGCAGGUGGUCAGCUUCACAUAGAACUUAAUAUGCAGGUGGUCAGCUUCACAUAGAAGUGAAUAUGCAGGUGGUUACUGAAGCCUGUUCAGGUUCAAGUGACAUAUGUUGCAGGAAUAUGGGGUCAUUUUGGGGGGUGGGCAAUGGGACUAAAGUACUUGAGUAAGUUAACAGUUUGACACAUUCAACAAAGAAAACUUCAGUUCCCAUCAAGUAUGGAACAUUGUUGUAUUUACUGUUGGUAAUGUUUAGAUGUUGACAUGUUUUGCAGGAGAAAACAGCUGGUGUAUUUUGAGGUCUCUCCUGCUGUGGCCUGGGUGAUUUGUGUGUCUCAGGAACAUCUGUUGAUUUGUAUAUAAGAAUCUGUAUAUUUCUCAUUGGUACACGGUGGCGAAGUCACCGUUAUUAUCACCUCCGACGUAAGAAAUGGGGAACAUUACGUAUAAAAUUCUUUACCCAAUACACAGAAAAACCCAACCAGUCUUCUGGUAACGUUUCUCAAUCAUGCUUCUGUCCUGCUGUGAGCUAAAAGUUUGUUUUUCAUUCAUUUGUAGCCUUACUAAUCUAAAAUAAAAAAUUAAUGAUAUUUUAUUUUGACCACCUACAUUGAAUUUUAGGCCAAAUUUUAAAUAAACCAACUUAUUACAAAUUUUAGACCCAGAAUAGAAAAUAUUAUCUGUUAGGAAUUAUUAUACGGGUGUAUCAGGCAAUGGCAAUGUGAUUUUGUUGAGGGAUUUCAUCAUGCCUAUAGCAUUGUUUGCUGUUUUUAUGCUGUACCCCCGGAAUGGAACUCGUGUAGGUAUUAACACUUUCAGUAUCAUUUAUUUUAAAGAUGUUGAUAUAGAAUGCAAACGGCCGGGCCCCCUUGAAUUGAGUAUGCUGGUUUGCAUUUAUUUUGUUCCAGAGUCUUGAUAUACAGAUACAUGAUCUACAGGAAUUGUGUCGGAUAAUAUCACAUUUCAUUUUCAUAUGAAUAUAUUCAUAGUGGUUAUAGCCAUGCGUAUAAUAUCCAGACAAUGUCAAGUUCUUGUGAAUAUGUCAUGGAUCUAGAUUUGUUGACAUUCUUAAACUUAUUAUGUUAUGUAUAUACGAGUAAAUAAACCGUUUAUUUUAUUUUAGUGGAGUCAUGAUGAUGUUGUUAAUUAUCUGUUCCAUUAAAGGGGCGCUGAUCUAAAGCAAUUCCCCGGGACUGGUU